This 1255-nucleotide long non-coding RNA is filed under the name Apteryx haastii (Great spotted kiwi). Its description in RNAcentral is "lncRNA (ENSAHAG00000010614.1)". The record is from RNAcentral. Lineage: Eukaryota; Metazoa; Chordata; Aves; Apterygiformes; Apterygidae.
CACAUCCCUGUCCGGCAGCCGUGCACCCACUGGACCCUGGCCCAGGAGGCAGGAGAUGCCCCGGAGAGGAUGCACCGCCGGGAUGCCCAGCCUGGGAUGGAGCUGCCCUUUGGCUCCCGGGCGCCAGCCCAGCCCUGUGCCGCAGGGAAGGGGCGUCCUCGCUGCACUGCUGGCCCCGCUGCAGGCUCCGGCCUCGGCUGUGCACCUGGGGGUUGCAGCGCCAGCGGGGCUGAGCUGGGCAUGAUGGGUCCCUCCUGCCUGCAGGGCUCCCGGCGACCUCCCUGCACCCAAACCUCUGCACGCAGCGCCGCCUCCCCGGGCACGCGCUGCAUGGGGACGUGCACACCGCAGGCUCUCUGCAAAGGGCUCGUGCCGUGCAUGCAGCGAACACCGCUCUGCAUCCCCUCCCCAGCCCCCAAACCGGCGUGGGGGCCUCUGAGCCCGGCCCCAUCCCGCAGACGUGGCCGCGCUGCCGGAGCUGGGGAGCACAGGGGCAGUUCGCAGCGGGGGCUCUCGCAGCAGCCCCAGCCCAGGCUCACCUCUCCGACGCCCAGCCAGCGGCCCCYGCUGGGCAGCACCCCAGGGGUGUCCUGCCGGGAGCCGAGCCAGAGCGGCCGGACAGCGCGGCACCCCGGCAGGGCCCACAGCCACGCACGGAGUCGCGCUGCAGCCACCCGGCGCGUCCCCGCGCACCGAGCCCGGCGCGGCUCCUCCCCUGAGCCUGGCCGCCGCCAGCCUGGCCGUUAUCCCCAGGACGCUGCGCAGACGCGGCCGGCGCUGCUGACGUCCGGCCUCGGCGUCACCGGCCGUCGGGCCCUGGGGAGCGGCCGUCGGGGCUGGGCUCACCGCUCCGCCGGGCUCCCCACGGCUGGGCCAGCAACGCCGGCACCGCGGGGCCACAUCUUGCUGGACAAGGUGCACCGCAGGGCUGAGGUGCCCUGGUGCAUCCCUGCAUCCCUGCAUACCCACCUCCCUGCAUCCCUGCAUCCCUGCCUCCCCCUAUCCCCGCAUCCCCUCAUCCCUGCAUCUCUGCAACCCCAUGUCCCUGCAUCCCUGCAUCCCCACAUCCCUGUGCCCGGGCUCAUCCCCACAUCCCUGCAUCCCUGCAGCUGUGCCCAGGCUCUGCCCCACGGCACGGGGCCGGCAGCCGCCCCGGCACAGCUCUCCACGGGGCCGGCAGGAGCAGCGGUGGCCGGCGCGUGCCCGCCGGCGGCCACCCCGUCACCCCGCGCACCCUGCCCCGGGUGCCAGNNNN